RNAcentral lists this ribosomal RNA (446 nucleotides) under uncultured bacterium. Its description in RNAcentral is "partial 16S ribosomal RNA". It matches the Rfam family "Bacterial small subunit ribosomal RNA", at positions 338 to 795 of the family's 1533-position model. The record is from RNAcentral.
CCUACGGGUGAUAGCAGUGAGGGAUAUUGGUCAAUGGGGGAAACCCUGAACCAGCAACGCUGCGUGAACGAAGAAGUUAUUCGUAAUGUAAAGUUCUUUUAACAGGGAAGAAAGAGAAAUUUGACGGUACCUGAAGAAUAAGCUCCGGCUAACUACGUGCCAGCAGCCGCGGUAAUACGUAGGGAGCGAGCGUUAUCCGGAAUUAUUGGGCGUAAAGGGUGCGUAGAUGGCAUAGUAAGUCUUUUGUAAAAAUGCUGGGCUCAACCCAGUAGGGCAAAAGAUACUGCAAAGCUAGAGUAUGACAGAGGCAAGUGGAACUACAUGUGUAGCGGUAAAAUGCGUAAAUAUAUGUAAGAACACCAGUGGCGAAGGCGGCUUGCUGGGUCGAUACUGACAUUGAGGCACGAAAGCGUGGGGAGCAAACAGGAUUAGAUACCCUGGUAGUC